Molecule: ribosomal RNA, 253 nt
Filed under: uncultured bacterium
Lineage: Bacteria
Description: partial 16S ribosomal RNA
Rfam family: Bacterial small subunit ribosomal RNA
Source: RNAcentral
UACGGAGGGGGCUAGCGUUGUUCGGAAUUACUGGGCGUAAAGCGCACGUAGGCGGCUUUGUAAGUUAGAGGUGAAAGCCCGGGGCUCAACUCCGGAAUUGCCUUUAAGACUGCAUCGCUAGAAUUGUGGAGAGGUAAGUGGAAUUCCGAGUGUAGAGGUGAAAUUCGUAGAUAUUCGGAAGAACACCAGUGGCGAAGGCGACUUACUGGUCCAUAACUGACGCUGAGGUGCGAAAGCGUGGGGAGCAAACAGG